GGGGCGCGGCUGCGGCGGAGGCGGCGGCGGCGGCAGCGCAGCCGCGCGGAGCGGAGCCGGGAUGGGCCGGGAUGGGCCGGGAUGCAGGUAAAAGAUGAAGCCUCGAUCACGCUUCACAGCAAACUUCAUGUAACCUCUGAGGGGAACUGAAGCAGAAAGCAAAGCCAAGGCAACGCAGCAUCUGACCUUGUCACUGGGUGGCAGAAAACAGCCACUGGUUCCACUGGUGCUUCAAUCAAGCUCCCUUGUGCAAUGUGGAAUCGUAGAGAGCUCACAAAGUACAAGUUCCUUCCAGGUCCGUGGGGUGAAUAAAAAUUGUUAACUCUUG
Long non-coding RNA from Pipra filicauda (Wire-tailed manakin), 328 nucleotides. RefSeq lists it as uncharacterized. NCBI's taxonomy places the organism in Eukaryota, Metazoa, Chordata, Aves, Passeriformes, Pipridae. The record is from RefSeq and is a predicted model, not a curated record. The transcript is spliced from 2 exons.